CCCUUAGAUGUUCUGGGCCGCACGCGUGCUACACUGAGUGGAUCAGCGGGUCAGGUUGCGCGAAAGUGUUUCCUAAUCUUUAAAUCCGCUCGUGAUGGGGAUAGAUCAUUGCAAUUUUUGAUCUUGAACGAGGAAUUCCUAGUAAGCGCGAGUCAUCGGCUCGCGUUGAUUACGUCCCUGCCCUUUGUACACACCGCCCGUCGCUACUACCGAUUGAAUGGUUUAGUGAGGACUCCUGAUUGGCGCCGCCGCCCCGGCAACGGAGCAGCGGACUGCCGAAAAGUUGUUCAAACUUGAUCAUUUAGAGGAAGUAAAAGUCGUAACA
Molecule: ribosomal RNA, 325 nt
Filed under: uncultured eukaryote
Lineage: Eukaryota
Description: partial 18S ribosomal RNA
Rfam family: Eukaryotic small subunit ribosomal RNA
Source: RNAcentral